GACGAACGCUGGCGGCGUGCUUAACACAUGCAAGUCGAACGAUGAUGCUGGAGCUUGCUCCAGUUGAUUAGUGGCGAACGGGUGAGUAACACGUGAGCAAUCUGCCCUUGACUCUGGGAUAACUGCGGGAAACUGUAGCUAAUACCGGAUACUUUCACCGGAAGGCAUCUUCUGGUGAUGAAAGAAUUUCGGUCAGGGAUGAGCUCGCGGCCUAUCAGCUUGUUGGUGAAGUAACGGCUCACCAAGGCGACGACGGGUAACCGGCCUGAGAGGGUGACCGGUCACACUGGGACUGAGACACGGCCCAGACUCCUACGGGAGGCAGCAGUGGGGAAUAUUGCACAACGGGCGCAAGCCUGAUGCAGCAACGCCGCGUGAGGGAUGAAGGCCUUCGGGUUGUAAACCUCUUUUAGCAGGGAGGAAGCGAAAGUGACGGUACCUGCAGAAAAAGCACCGGCUAACUACGUGCCAGCCGCCGCCGUAA
Molecule: ribosomal RNA, 484 nt
Filed under: uncultured bacterium
Lineage: Bacteria
Description: partial 16S ribosomal RNA
Rfam family: Bacterial small subunit ribosomal RNA
Source: RNAcentral